GGCCGGCUGGCGCAAUGGUAGCGCGUCAGACUUCUAUUGUCUAUGCAUAAGACUGAUAGUGAUCUGAAGGCUGCGGGUUCGAGCCCCGCGUUGGUCA
This 97-nucleotide transfer RNA is filed under the name Colletotrichum cereale. RNAcentral's name for it is "tRNA-Arg". It matches the Rfam family "tRNA". Rfam says of the family: Transfer RNA (tRNA) molecules are approximately 80 nucleotides in length. Their secondary structure includes four short double-helical elements and three loops (D, anti-codon, and T loops). Further hydrogen bonds mediate the characteristic L-shaped molecular structure. tRNAs have two regions of fundamental functional importance: the anti-codon, which is responsible for specific mRNA codon recognition, and the 3' end, to which the tRNAs corresponding amino acid is attached (by aminoacyl-tRNA synthetases). tRNAs cope with the degeneracy of the genetic code in two manners: having more than one tRNA (with a specific anti-codon) for a particular amino acid; and 'wobble' base-pairing, i.e. permitting non-standard base-pairing at the 3rd anti-codon position. Lineage: Eukaryota; Fungi; Ascomycota; Sordariomycetes; Glomerellales; Glomerellaceae. The record is from RNAcentral.